Molecule: long non-coding RNA, 2436 nt
Organism: Penaeus indicus
Lineage: Eukaryota; Metazoa; Arthropoda; Malacostraca; Decapoda; Penaeidae
Exons: 2
Source: RefSeq, a predicted model, not a curated record
CUUCAACGGCAGCUGUGGUCGCCUAACAGCACCAGGCCCUAUUGUAGGGGUUUGGAGGUGAUGGUAGUUGUGUCCUAUGGCUCGCAACUAGAAUACACAGUCUCCGAAGAAAACCGCUCGAAGCCGCUUACACGAUGAUCAGUCUUCAAACCCAUGAGUACGCAUUUUGGGCCUUCUCUUUUUCCUUUCUUCUCCAUCUUCUCCCUAAAUGCUCACAUUAGGUUUGUUGGGUUAAAGUGCUAAUUGACAGCAAACGGCACACUCUCAUUCUUCUGACCUCACAUCAUUCAUUACCGUGUGAAUAUCGUUCAUUUAUUGAGUAUUUUAUUUGAUUUCCUUUCUCGUGAUUAGAGAAUUAUAUUGUUUCAAUUGCAACGAAUUUAGCGCGUUCGUGAUUUCAUUGUUUUCAUGAACAUCACUCAUUAUUUUCUUUCUCUACCCAUUUCCCGUCUUGACUUGACCUAACGUGAAAGUCAUUAAGUCAGCCCGGCUAGACAGCUGGGGCGGAUCUGACUUGACUUUCACUUUGAGUGAUUGACACAGGAAAUGGCUGGGAAAACUGCUUGCCAACUGCUUCUAUCGGCGCUAGAACGGAGCUUGUAACGCGAUUCAUAUACAAUUAUAAUUUUGAAUUUAACGCCAGGAUUAUCCCCAUAGUGUCAGAUUGCCUGAUUACUGGGGUUGCAUUUAUGCGUAAUUACGACGUAAUGAUAGUAGGUUAGGUAACCGAAGUAAUUCAUACACUUGGCAGAUUUUGAGCCGUAUGACCCUCAAUUUAUGUCCAUUAACUAAUUUAGGACUAGGGUUUAAGUUUGAUUCAGGAUCCACUUAUCAAUCACACCUUGCUUUUAGAUGUCGCUGUCAUAUUUGGGUUAAUCCCAUCAAUUUGUGAUUCAUGAUAAUCCCCGUAGGGCAUUUCAUGAGCGCCCAUCAUAGAUCUGCAAAUAGAGUGGGUUAUUUAUAAAUCUUCCCAGCUCGUUUAACUUCAUAAAGUACGGCAUUUUUGGGUACAGACCCCCGUCAAUGAACGCUGCAUGCACAGUUAGACUUACUUGCAUACCUCGGCAGUUCCGAGAAGAUUCGCUCGCGAAGGAGCUUGCGAAUAAUUUCACGUCACCAUUCAUUAAUGCGUCAUUCUGUCGCAUAUCAUUUAAUGUUAAAUUGAAUGUGGUAGUUGAAAUAAUGUUGUAUUACGUCUAUAAAUAAUUAGAUGCAUUGUUGUUAAAAUGAACUUUAAUCUCCGUGUUUGGCUGCUUUCUCACUUUCAUUUGACAUUCCCACUCACUGUCACUCAUACGCACAUGCACACACAGUCACUCACUCACCGACGCAGAACAAAAGACACUGAAACCUUCAUUUAAUAGGGCUUGCUGCUGUUGUAGUUACAGGCAUACGUAUCUCUUUGCCCGCGAUUUUGUCAGUCGUGAUGUGUGAUGUACAUGAUUUCGUAUUUCACAUACUUUCUUUCGGUUUCGGCAAUGGUUCAAGCAAACCUUAGCAGGUUGCCAAUUGUCGUUUCCCUUACUUUAUUUUCGUAUAGUAGUUUAAGAUAGUCCUUGCGGACGCUACUGCCAUCUCCCUCUCCUAUUUUCUUCCUUAACUUGUAACUAAAUGGAAACACAAAAUGGAAAAAAAGACGAAAAUAACGAAAAUAAAUAAAAAAACUGCAAAUUUUAAUCACAAAAAUUGGCUAGUGGCGCUUAACACCCCCUCUUCUCUGUUGUCUUUUUUUCUCUUACUAUUUUGGCCCUUAUGUGUAUAAUCUGGUUCGCGAUAUCUGACACGGCACCGAAGGAGGCCCUGCUGCAGAAACGGUCAGACGCUAUGGAAAAACGUCACCGGAAGAUCGCCAGAAGCCUGGAGACCAGGAUGUUCGUCAGAACAGGUAUUAAGCCGCCCCAGGAUGUGAAAGGGCGCCGCCUGCCAGCACGCCUGUAGAUCCAGCGAAGAACCAGGAACUCGCCAGUGCAGGUACCAGUCGCCCGAUGAUGCUGUGGACGAACGCUGCCUGCCUGGACGCCGCAGAUCCAGUCAAACUCCAGGAGCUCGUCAGUGCAGGUAUCAGCCGCCCUGCGAUGCCGAAGAGGACGCUUCCUGCCGGACGCCCGUAGAUCCUGACGAAGAUUACGAGGAUGUCUGUACGAGUGCACAGCCGAGAAGGACCUGGACGAGAUCUGUGAGACGUGCAUUGGGCGAGUAAGCCGCCGAGUUAGACCUGGACGAGGACUACGAGGAAGUCUGGGCGAAUGCGAAGUCAAGAAAGACCUGUGCGAGACCUUCGAGGACGUGUGGAUGUCGAGGACUGAGGCGUUAGUAGGCGGCCGAGCAGUAUACUGUGUAGUAAGCGGUAUAAGCUGUGGCCGCGCUGUGACCUACCACGCUCCGUGUGUUCAUAUAUCUGUGUGCUGUACUCGUAGUCAAUAAAUAGAGUCAAAC